UACGUAGGGUGCGAGCGUUUGUCCGGAAUUACUGGGCGUAAAGAGUUCGUAGGUGGUUUGUCGCGUUGUUCGUGAAAACUCACAGCUUAACUGUGGGCGUGCGGGCGAUACGGGCAGACUGGAGUACUGCAGGGGGAGACUGGAAUUCCUGGUGUAGCGGUGGAAUGCGCAGAUAUCAGGAGGAACACCGAUGGCGAAGGCAGAUCUCUGGGCCGUAACUGACGCUGAGGAGCGAAAAGCAUGGGGGAGCGAACAGG
Molecule: ribosomal RNA, 257 nt
Filed under: uncultured bacterium
Lineage: Bacteria
Description: partial 16S ribosomal RNA
Rfam family: Bacterial small subunit ribosomal RNA
Source: RNAcentral